CGCGUAGGUGGUUUGUUAAGCGAGAUGUGAAAGCCCCGGGCUUAACCUGGGAACGGCAUUUCGAACUGGCAAGCUAGAGUGUGGUAGAGGGUAGUGGAAUUUCCUGUGUAGCGGUGAAAUGCGUAGAUAUAGGAAGGAACACCAGUGGCGAAGACGGCUACCUGGACCAACACUGACACUGAGGUGCGAAAGCGUGGGGAGCAAACA
RNAcentral lists this ribosomal RNA (207 nucleotides) under uncultured bacterium. RNAcentral describes it as "partial 16S ribosomal RNA". It matches the Rfam family "Bacterial small subunit ribosomal RNA", at positions 568 to 774 of the family's 1533-position model. The record is from RNAcentral.